GCCGAGAUAGCCAAGUAGUACGGCGGCCGUCUCGAAAACGGCUACGCGCAAGCGUGCGGGGGUUCGAAUCCCUCUCUCGGCG
RNAcentral lists this transfer RNA (82 nucleotides) under Candidatus Nitrosopumilus sediminis. RNAcentral's name for it is "tRNA-Ser (CGA) (tRNA-Ser-CGA-1-1)". It matches the Rfam family "tRNA". Rfam says of the family: Transfer RNA (tRNA) molecules are approximately 80 nucleotides in length. Their secondary structure includes four short double-helical elements and three loops (D, anti-codon, and T loops). RNAcentral also lists the same sequence under 8 other names. Lineage: Archaea; Thermoproteati; Nitrososphaerota; Nitrososphaeria; Nitrosopumilales; Nitrosopumilaceae. The record is from RNAcentral.